CAUACAAAUGUGCUUUGCUCUCCAUAGGCCCCUUAAGAUUUAUGGGCCUUGGGCUUCUCUGAAUCUGUAAACAAGGAGAAAAAAAGAGGGAGAGAGACAGGGAGAGAGAGAGAGACAGAGGCCUCACUCGUCCCUCCAGGUUGUGAAAGAGAGAAUAGAUCUGCAAAUUCGGUUCUUAUCUAUUUUUCUUUACUUAGAUAUGUGGUUAGGCCUGCUUUCACAUCUCUCCGUGGCUGUGUAUUGGUGUUGGGGCCUGUGGUCAUGGUGUGUGCAGAAGCCGAGCCUACUUCAUUAAAGAAGAAAAGAUCAUUUCUCCCCGGAUAAUCCCAACAUACCCCUCGUAUUCUUCAGUGAAGGAAGACAAACAACGAUGUUUGGGCAGGGACUGGUAACGGAGAAGACAGGGGUGGCAUCUGCGGUCUCUGCCUCUUGGUAACCAGAAGAACAAAAUGAAAUCUCCAGAAAGAAAAGAAGAAGAAGAAGAAGAAGAAGAAGAA
Molecule: non-coding RNA, 497 nt
Organism: Phascolarctos cinereus (koala)
Lineage: Eukaryota; Metazoa; Chordata; Mammalia; Diprotodontia; Phascolarctidae
Source: RefSeq, a predicted model, not a curated record